CUUGGUCAUUUAGAGGAAGUAAAAGUCGUAACAAGGUUUCCGUAGGUGAACCUGCGGAAGGAUCAUUAGUGAAUUUAGCGCAUCUGCUUUGCAGAGCGUGACCUCCACUUCCUAACUCUGUGCACUUAAUGGCGGAAGAGAUGAAAUAUGCUCUUCUGCGGCUCAUUUUAUAACACUAGUUAAAGAAUGUAACGAAAUAUCGAAACAAAAAAAACUUUCAACAACGGAUCUCUUGGCUCUCGCAUCGAUGAAGAACGCAGCGAAAUGUGAUAAGUAAUGUGAAUUGCAGAAUUCAGUGAAUCAUCGAAUCUUUGAACGCACCUUGCGCUCCCUGGUAUUCCGGGGAGCAUGUCUGUUUGAGUGUCAUGAACUCUUCAACCCACCGGUUUCUUGUAAACUGGCUGGUGUUUGGUUUCUGAGUGUUGCUCGUCCUUGUGACUGAGCUCAUUCGUAAUAUAUGAGCAUCUCUAAUUCGAAUUCGGAUUGACUCAGUGUAAUAGACUAUUCGCUGAGGACACACCUAGUGUGGCCGAAUAAGAUAAUUGUAGAAGCUUCUAACCCUUCUAGUCAUUUUAAGAUUAGACCUCAGAUCAGAUAGGACUACCCGCUGAACUUAAGCAUAUCAAUAAGCGGAGGAAAAGAAACUAACAAGGAUUCCCCUAGUAACGGCGAGUGAAGCGGGAAGAGCUCAAAUUUGUAAUCUGGCACUUUCAGUGUCCGAGUUGUAAUCUCGAGAAGUGUUUUCCGCGCCGGACCGCAUACAAGUCUGUUGGAAUACAGCGUCAUAGUGGUGAGAACCCCGUAACUGAUGCGGAUGCCCGGUGCUUUGUGAUACACUUUCGAAGAGUCGAGUUGUUUGGGAAU
RNAcentral lists this small RNA (864 nucleotides) under uncultured Rhodotorula. Its description in RNAcentral is "eukaryotic LSU rRNA". The stretch from base 581 to 864 matches the Rfam family "Eukaryotic large subunit ribosomal RNA", at positions 1 to 281 of the family's 3401-position model. The record is from RNAcentral. Lineage: Eukaryota; Fungi; Basidiomycota.